Molecule: transfer RNA, 74 nt
Filed under: Pseudomonadota bacterium
Lineage: Bacteria; Pseudomonadati; Pseudomonadota
Also listed under: 1 other name
Description: tRNA-Arg
Rfam family: tRNA
About the family: Transfer RNA (tRNA) molecules are approximately 80 nucleotides in length. Their secondary structure includes four short double-helical elements and three loops (D, anti-codon, and T loops). Further hydrogen bonds mediate the characteristic L-shaped molecular structure. tRNAs have two regions of fundamental functional importance: the anti-codon, which is responsible for specific mRNA codon recognition, and the 3' end, to which the tRNAs corresponding amino acid is attached (by aminoacyl-tRNA synthetases). tRNAs cope with the degeneracy of the genetic code in two manners: having more than one tRNA (with a specific anti-codon) for a particular amino acid; and 'wobble' base-pairing, i.e. permitting non-standard base-pairing at the 3rd anti-codon position.
Source: RNAcentral
GCGCUCGUAGCUCAGCUGGAUAGAGCACCAGCUUGCGGAGCUGGGUGUCGGGGGUUCAAAUCCCUCCGAGCGCG